This 426-nucleotide ribosomal RNA is filed under the name uncultured bacterium. RNAcentral describes it as "bacterial SSU rRNA". It matches the Rfam family "Bacterial small subunit ribosomal RNA", at positions 354 to 796 of the family's 1533-position model. The record is from RNAcentral.
GUGAGGAAUUUUCCGCAAUGGGCGAAAGCCUGACGGAGCAAUGCCGCGUGAAGGAUGAAGGCCUAUGGGUUGUAAACUUCUUUUCUCAGAAAAGAAUUAUGACGGUAUCUGAGGAAUAAGCAUCGGCUAACUCUGUGCCAGCAGCCGCGGUAAGACAGAGGAUGCAAGCGUUAUCCGGAAUGAUUGGGCGUAAAGCGUCUGUAGGUUGUUUAAAAAGUAUUCUGUCAAAGAUUAGGGCUUAACCCUAGAUAGGCAGAAUAAACUUUUAAGCUAGAGUUUGGUAGAGGCAGAGGGAAUUCCCGGUGGAGCGGUGAAAUGCGUAGAUAUCGGGAGGAACACCAAAGGCGAAGGCACUCUGCUGGGCCAAUAUUAACACUGAGAGACGAAAGCGAGGGGAGCAAAUGGGAUUAGAAACCCCUGUAGUCC